ACCGUACUCCUACGGGAGGCAGCAGUGGGGAAUAUUGCACAAUGGGCGCAAGCCUGAUGCAGCGACGCCGCGUGGGGGAUGACGGCCUUCGGGUUGUAAACUCCUUUCGCUAGGGACGAAGCUUUUGUGACGGUACCUAGAUAAGAAGCACCGGCUAACUACGUGCCAGCAGCCGCGGUAAUACGGAGGGUGCGAGCGUUGCCCGGAAUUACUGGGCGUAAAGGGCUCGUAGGUGGUUUGUCGCGUCGUCUGUGAAAUUCCGGGGCUUAACUCCGGGCGUGCAGGCGAUACGGGCAUAACUUGAGUACUGUAGGGGUAACUGGAAUUCCUGGUGUAGCGGUGAAAUGCGCAGAUAUCAGGAGGAAUACCGAUGGCGAAGGCAGGUUACUGGGCAGUUACUGACGCUGAGGAGCGAAAGCAUGGGUAGCGAACAGGAUUAGAAACCCGGGUAGUCCUUGAC
Molecule: ribosomal RNA, 460 nt
Filed under: uncultured bacterium
Lineage: Bacteria
Description: bacterial SSU rRNA
Rfam family: Bacterial small subunit ribosomal RNA
Source: RNAcentral